GACGAACGCUGGCGGCGUGCUUAACACAUGCAAGUCGAACGGAAAGGCCCUUCGGGGUACUCGAGUGGCGAACGGGUGAGUAACACGUGGGUGAUCUGCCCUGCACUUUGGGAUAAGCCUGGGAAACUGGGUCUAAUACCGAAUAGGACCGCGCGCUUCAUGGUGUGUGGUGGAAAGCUUUUGCGGUGUGGGAUGGGCCCGCGGCCUAUCAGCUUGUUGGUGGGGUAAUGGCCUACCAAGGCGACGACGGGUAGCCGGCCUGAGAGGGUGACCGGCCACACUGGGAGUGAGGUACGGGCCAGACUCCUACGGGAGGCAGCAGUGGGGAAUAUUGCACAAUGGGCGCAAGCCUGAUGCAGCGACGCCGCGUGAGGGAUGACGGCCUUCGGGUUGUAAACCUCUUUCACCAGGGACGAAGCGCAAGUGACGGUACCUGGAGAAGAAGCACCGGCCAACUACGUG
This 462-nucleotide ribosomal RNA is filed under the name uncultured bacterium. RNAcentral describes it as "partial 16S ribosomal RNA". It matches the Rfam family "Bacterial small subunit ribosomal RNA", at positions 28 to 507 of the family's 1533-position model. The record is from RNAcentral.